RNAcentral lists this long non-coding RNA (3071 nucleotides) under Mus musculus (house mouse). RNAcentral's name for it is "long non-coding RNA chr9:25521490-25524561". Lineage: Eukaryota; Metazoa; Chordata; Mammalia; Rodentia; Muridae. The record is from RNAcentral.
AAGGCCACUGAGAGAUAAUUUUCUCAGGAAAACAAUCAUUCCCAAGGUCCAAUUCCAUGCACUAGUGUCUGUAUGUUAGGGUGGGACUGUAUCCUACACUUUGACAUCUUACCUUGUUUCUGACCUCCUAGCCUGGAGGAAUAUUUUGGUAUCCUAACAGAGGUCCACCUUGGUAACAUGGGUAACCACUUCGGUUUCACUCCCUUUCUCAUCCUGGUUUACUGUUUGUGACAAUGUAUCCAUACCUCCUUCCUUCUGCCUCCCUUCUUCCCUUUCUUCCUUUUUCCUCUCUGUGACCAUAUCUGGCUUAGGUUGAGUCCUGUUAAACAACCAGCACGUUCAUGGUUCCCUGUGCACCCGCCAUUUUGCCCCUUCUUUUCUGUCAGUUACAGGAUAGCUUGUUACCUUAAAUGCAGGCACAACAGAAAGAAAAGGAAAACCCAUAAAGCAGUUAGGGCUUCUUGGUGGCUCCUCACCCAGGCAGCUGCUUCCACUGCCUUCUGUGGCUCUUGUGGCCUCACUUACCCACCUGUCCCAUACUUCUCAGUCAGAAGACUUCCUGGUAGAAGGAACACAUGGUGUUGACUUUGUUGGCAGGCAAGACCAGUGUCUCCCACCUGAAAACACUCAGUUCCCAUAUGUACUUGUUCUGCUUUUUCUGAGGCAGUUCUGCAAAGUGUUUGAUUAUCUAUCAUAAUGUAUUUGUGAUACCUGCUAUGGGACCACCCUUAGCUCAGGAACGUCUUUGGAGUCUUAAAGGGGCCUUACUUCACUUGUGUGUGCAAGUUCCCUUGUAGACAGUGUCAGAGGUACUCAGGAACAGCCAAGAGGCUCACUGUUACUUUCCUUGAACAAAAAGGAAUUGGAUCUUCCGGGGACCGGUAGCUCCUAGCUGCACACAACGCAUCUCAUGACAUCUGACCUAAGUUUAGCUGCUUUGCCAUGAACGAUCCUGAAGUGAUGGUUCUCUCAGUUCCAGGGGUGGAAAAGCCCAGCUAAGGGUUCUGGGAGAGCUGGGAGGAGGAUGGAGGGUGUUGAGCCAGUUUGUAGGUCUGUGGAUAAUAAGGAUGGACGGGACAGAGGGAGCUGAGAGUAAGGAGGGAGGUGUGGAAGAGAGCACUGGGAGGCACUGGGAGGACAGACUUAGGGCUGCAAUGGAAAUUAAGAUGACACAGAAGGUGCUUAGCAGAGCCUGGCACGUGGAGGAAGCAUUUAAUCAGUGCUUGGUCUCCCACACCACAGAAAGGGAACCAGAGAGAAGUGUUUGUUCUGAUUUAGUGUGGUGGACCCCAUGCCUAGACUAGUGUGGCACAACUUGUGUCCUUGUGUCUCAGUUAGUGUUUGUUGAGAGACUAUAUAAAAGCAUCAAAGCAGAACAUCCAAUAAAUGGAUGACAAUUAAAACAGAAAUUAGGGUACAAGUAGAGGGGCAGAAGAGUCUCUUAGAGCUGGAGCCUGUCAGAGAAUUUCACACGUUAUGCCAGGGUAUGGCGGAUCAGUGGAAUCAUAGGUGGAUAAGCAAGUAAGUGACCAAUGCAAAGGAAUUACACCCUUCUCUUCCUGUGUACAUUAAAGGAUAUACCUGCAUCUCUCAAAUUAACCAGAGGUUGAAGAGAAGAGCCAGCUGUUAAAGCAUGGAACACCAGAGAAAAUAUGAGAAAAGGCAGAGUAGUGGAUUGGGUGACCUUUAAAAAUCAACUUUUGCAUUAUCACAAAUUUGAAGAAACAAAAUUUGAAGUGAGUGCUGAAAACUUGGCUCAUGUAUCAAAAAACAAGAAGUUUUAAAUAUUUUAAUAUUUAAGCAUAUAAAUCAAUAUAAACCUUCUCUAUAUUUAAAAACAAUUAUGUGUAUGGAUGUUUUACGUGGCUGUAUAUCUGUGUGCCACAGGCAUGUCUUGUGCCCAGAGAGGCCAGAGGAGAGUGUUGAAUCCCCUGGAACUGGAGUUGUAGAUGGUGUGAGCCACCAUUGGGUGCUGGAACUCUGCUAAUUCUGGAAGAGCGGCCAGUGCUCUUAGUGACCAAACCUUUCCUCCAACCCUGCCAUUUCUACUGUAAUAGAAAAGUCAGCUCAAGGACAGAUAGAGAUCAUUCAUGGAAGGAUUGCACAGUGGAUUUACACACGGCACAGGAGAACUUGUUGGCCACUGGAGAAAUGCAGAGGAAAGGAGGGAGCAUUCAUUUGCUUAUCAGCUACAGUAGCAGGUCCUGCCUUAAGAAAGAUGCUUCCCUGAAUUGCUGGUGGGAGAAAGGCUAGAAAAUGCUGUUUUGGCAGAGUUUAAAGAGGCUUAACUACUACAUACUUUUUUUUUUCUUUUUCUUUUUUUUAAGAUAGGAAGUGCCACUCUUGCCACUCUAAAUCCAGAUUAAGGAAAUAUCUGAAAUGCCUACAAUAUGUGCACAUAUAUUUAUCAUAAAUCAUGGAAAAGUUAAAAAGAAAAAGAAAAAAGGUGCCCAGCAAUAGGGAAUAAUAAAUUGUAGAACAUAUGCAUAUGCAAUAUUACAUGACUUUUAAAAUAAUUUUAAAGAAUAUUCAAAGGAGCCAUUCUUAACCUUUAUUGAGUCAUGCUUGCCAAUAUCCCAUGGCUUCACACAAGCCACACAAUCAAGUCCAGACCAGCGGAAUCAUGGGAGUCUGCUAGUACAAUCCUUUUCUCUGUAUGCUCAUAGCAUGACUAUAGUUUUUACACAUGAGACAUGGACACACUUGUAUAGAAGAAUAUAGUUGUUGUUCUUUAAUUUAUUGUUAAAGUUUAUUAUAAGCAUUUUAAAAAUAAAAUGUAUUUCUUGAGCUAAAAAGGCAUGGCUCUGGGUUUGGGACAUUUAGUAUGAUAACAAAUAUAUUUAGGAGGUAGUCCAUUUUUUGAUAUUGUUCAUAAGGUAAGGUCUAGGUUGGUUCAAGAGAUAUUUAGCUUUGAUUGAAUGAUGUCUAAGAAGCGGGAAAGGGCUGUGGGAUAACUUUGCUUGGAAAAAUCUCAUUUACUAUGUUGUCUUUGAGGUUCCUCUGAAGCACUGUAGUUGAAGGCACAGAAAACAUUGGAAAUAAUAGAACCAGAGUUGAGAAGAGAAAACUGG